ACCCGCUGAACUUAAGCAUAUCAAUAAGCGGAGGAAAAGAAACCAACGGGGAUUGCCUUAGUAACUGCGAGUGAAGCGGCAAAAGCUCAAAUUUGAAAUCUGGCGUCUUCGGCGUCCGAGUUGUAAUUUGGAGAGGCAUCUUCGGAAUGGUCACCGGUCCAAGUUCCUUGGAACAGGACGUCACAGAGGGUGAGAAUCCCGUGUCUGGCUGGUUGUACCAAUCCAUGUGAAGUGUCUUCGACGAGUCGAGUUGUUUGGGAAUGCAGCUCAAAAUGGGAGGUAAAUUUCUUCUAAAGCUAAAUAUUGGCGAGAGACCGAUAGCGCACAAGUAGAGUGAUCGAAAGAUGAAAAGCACUUUGAAAAGAGAGUUAAAAAGUACGUGAAAUUGUUGAAAGGGAAGCGCUUGAGACCAGACUCAAUCUGCGGUAAUCAGCAGUCCUUUUGGGCUGUGCACUUGCUGCUUUUUGGGCCAGCAUCGGUUUUGACCGCGUGAUAAAGACCUUGGGAAUGUGGCUCCUCUCGGGGAGUGUUAUAGCCCCUGGUGCAAUGACGCGUGUUGGGACCGAGGACCGCGCUUCGGCUAGGAUGCCGGCAUAAUGGUCUU
Molecule: ribosomal RNA, 604 nt
Filed under: uncultured fungus
Lineage: Eukaryota; Fungi
Description: eukaryotic LSU rRNA
Rfam family: Eukaryotic large subunit ribosomal RNA
Source: RNAcentral